GAUGAACGCUGGCGGCGUGCCUAAUACAUGCAAGUCGAGCGAACAGACGAGGAGCUUGCUCCUUUGACGUUAGCGGCGGACGGGUGAGUAACACGUGGAUAACCUACCUAUAAGACUGGGAUAACUUCGGGAAACCGGAGCUAAUACCGGAUAACAUGUUGAACCGCAUGGUUCAACAGUGAAAGACGGUCUUGCUGUCACUUAUAGAUGGAUCCGCGCCGCAUUAGCUAGUUGGUAAGGUAACGGCUUACCAAGGCAACGAUGCGUAGCCGACCUGAGAGGGUGAUCGGCCCACCUGAAACUGAGACCCGGUCCAGACCCCUACGGGAGGCAGCAGUGGGGAAUCUUCCGCAAUGGGCGAAAGCCUGACGGAGCAACGCCGCGGGGGUGAAGAAGGUCUUCGGAUCGUAAAACUCUGUUAUUAGGGAAGAAAAAAUGUGUAAGUAACUAUGCCCGUUUUGACGGUCCCUAAUCAGAAAGCCCCGGCUAACUACUU
This 496-nucleotide ribosomal RNA is filed under the name uncultured bacterium. RNAcentral's name for it is "partial 16S ribosomal RNA". It matches the Rfam family "Bacterial small subunit ribosomal RNA", at positions 28 to 506 of the family's 1533-position model. The record is from RNAcentral.